Molecule: non-coding RNA, 94 nt
Filed under: Palpitomonas bilix
Lineage: Eukaryota
Source: RNAcentral
CGCCCUUUCAUGUUUUCACUGCAGCAUGCCAGCAUGGCAACAUCACACCUUCUCCUUCUUCCAGCUUUGAAAAAAAGGCUUUUUGCCUCUCAUU